Molecule: ribosomal RNA, 468 nt
Filed under: uncultured bacterium
Lineage: Bacteria
Description: partial 16S ribosomal RNA
Rfam family: Bacterial small subunit ribosomal RNA
Source: RNAcentral
GACGAACGCUGGCGGCGUGCUUAACACAUGCAAGUCGAACGGAAAGGCCCUGCUUUUGUGGGGUGCUCGAGUGGCGAACGGGUGAGUAACAAGUGAGUAACCUGCCCUUGACUUUGGGAUAACUUCAGGAAACUGGGGCUAAUACCGGAUAGGAGCUCCUGCUGCAUGGUGGGGGUUGGAAAGUUUCGGCGGUUGGGGAUGGACUCGCGGCUUAUCAGCUUGUUGGUGGGGUAGUGGCUUACCAAGGCUUUGACGGGUAGCCGGCCUGAGAGGGUGACCGGCCACAUUGGGACUGAGAUACGGCCCAGACUCCUACGGGAGGCAGCAGUGGGGAAUAUUGCACAAUGAGCGGAAGCCUGAUGCAGCAACGCCGCGUGCGGGAUGACGGCCUUCGGGUUGUAAACCGCUUUCGCCUGUGACGAAGCGUGAGUGACGGUAAUGGGUAAAGAAGCACCGGCUAACUACGUG